Non-coding RNA from Paramuricea clavata, 735 nucleotides. NCBI's taxonomy places the organism in Eukaryota, Metazoa, Cnidaria, Anthozoa, Malacalcyonacea, Plexauridae. The record is from the annotation of a GenBank genome assembly.
GAAUUAUUGUAAUAUAAGUUGAGAUAAAUAAUGUUCCAAUUUCUGUAUUAUAAACACAAUACUAUAACUAAAAUUACAAUAUACAUGCACAGUAGUCAGUAUUAUGUAUCUCACCGAAAUGUGGGAACCAUCAAAAGAUUCGUACAUAUAUGCCAUAUGGCUCCGAAAGUUUACAAUUCUAAUUUUAAAGAGCAAUCAACUUGUGAUAGCAAUAGCAGGCGCGGUUGUUAACGUGAACGCAAUACGAAUAAUUUCUAAUACAUUACCACAGUUCGGUGAGAUAAUACACACAUUCCAUCAAUAACAUUAACUUGGGUUAGCAUAUGUCAACAUAACUCUCAAAAAGUGUAAAAUUACUGUAGUACUAAUAUUCAUGAGUCAUGACAAGUCAUUGAAGAGGGCUGUGACCCUCAUUAGUGAGCUUAAGCAAAUGACGUUUUUGACAACACGGACGGUAUGAGCAACGUCAGAAGACUGGGUCAAGGGCUGUGAUUGGUGAAAAACUACAACUUUACUUCUGGUCGACGUCCGUGUUGUCAAAAACGUCACUUGCUUAAACUCACUAUUGGCAGUUGUAUGCCAUUUUCUGUGUUGCCCAUGCACUACUAUAGUCUGCAAGGCAGACAAGAUACUCUUCGUGUGGCAGUAGUCAAUAUUGAAGAUGUAAAAACUUGCCAAUAAGGCGAUAAUUGCAUCAAAACAACUGUUGCUUGUUAUGGAACUUUCAUCCUUUCC